UACGUAGGGCGCGAGCGUUGUCCGGAAUUAUUGGGCGUAAAGAGCUCGUAGGCGGCUUGUUGCGUCUGCUGUGAAAUCCCGGGGCUUAACCCCGGGCGUGCAGUGGAUACGGGCAGGCUGGAGGCAGGCAGGGGAGGAUGGAAUUCCCGGUGUAGCGGUGAAAUGCGCAGAUAUCGGGAGGAACACCGGUGGCGAAGGCGGUUCUCUGGGCCUGUUCUGACGCUGAGGAGCGAAAGCGUGGGGAGCGAACAGG
RNAcentral lists this ribosomal RNA (253 nucleotides) under uncultured bacterium. Its description in RNAcentral is "partial 16S ribosomal RNA". It matches the Rfam family "Bacterial small subunit ribosomal RNA", at positions 524 to 776 of the family's 1533-position model. The record is from RNAcentral.